Molecule: transfer RNA, 76 nt
Filed under: Acidobacteriota bacterium
Lineage: Bacteria; Pseudomonadati; Acidobacteriota
Also listed under: 1 other name
Description: Acidobacteria bacterium (activated sludge metagenome) tRNA-His
Rfam family: tRNA
About the family: Transfer RNA (tRNA) molecules are approximately 80 nucleotides in length. Their secondary structure includes four short double-helical elements and three loops (D, anti-codon, and T loops).
Source: RNAcentral
GUGCCCAUAGCUCAGCUGGUAGAGCGCUGGAUUGUGGUUCCAGAUGUCACGGGUUCGAUCCCCGUUGGGCACCCCA